CUAGGCUUGACAUCUGGGGAAUCUCAUGGAAACAUGGGAGUGCGGAGCAAUCCGAGCCCCAAGACAGGUGCUGCAUGGCUGUCGUCAGCUCGUGUCGUGAGAUGUUGGGUUAAGUCCCGCAACGAGCGCAACCCUUGUCUCUAGUUGCCAUCAUUUAGUUGGGCUACUCUAGAGAGACUGCCGGUGAUAAACCGGAGGAAGGUGGGGACGACGUCAAGUCCUCAUGGCCUUUAUGCCUAGGGCUACACACGUGCUACAAUGGAUCGUACAAAGGGUCGCGAACCCGCGAGGGGGAGCCAAUCCCAAAAACCGGUCCUCAGUUCGGAUUGGAGUCUGCAACUCGACUCCAUGAAGUUGGAAUCGCUAGUAAUCGUGGAUCAGCAUGCCACGGUGAAUACGUUCCC
RNAcentral lists this ribosomal RNA (404 nucleotides) under uncultured bacterium. Its description in RNAcentral is "bacterial SSU rRNA". It matches the Rfam family "Bacterial small subunit ribosomal RNA", at positions 975 to 1375 of the family's 1533-position model. The record is from RNAcentral.